Molecule: ribosomal RNA, 301 nt
Filed under: uncultured bacterium
Lineage: Bacteria
Description: partial 16S ribosomal RNA
Rfam family: Bacterial small subunit ribosomal RNA
Source: RNAcentral
CAGUCGCCGCGGUAAUACAGAGGGUGCGAGCGUUAAUCGGAUUUACUGGGCGUAAAGCGUGCGUAGGCGGCUUUUUAAGUCGGAUGUGAAAUCCCUGAGCUUAACUUAGGAAUUGCAUUCGAUACUGGGAAGCUAGAGUAUGGGAGAGGAUGGUAGAAUUCCAGGUGUAGCGGUGAAAUGCGUAGAGAUCUGGAGGAAUACCGAUGGCGAAGGCAGCCAUCUGGCCUAAUACUGACGCUGAGGUACGAAAGCAUGGGGAGCAAACAGGAUUAGAUACCCCGGUAGUCCCUGUCUCUUAUUU